UUAAGUUCAGCGGGUGGUCCUACCUGAUUUGAGGUCAAGUUUAUCAAAUCCAACUCUCGCAGCAGCAAAACCCUCAACUGGAUGCAGAUAUGUAUCACAUCUCGACGGAGAGGGUCGUUCACCGCUCAUGUAUUUCAGGGGAGCAGACCACAAGUUCAGAGCCUGUAACCCCCAAAUCCAAGCCACGACCUCACGGCGUG
This 200-nucleotide unclassified non-coding RNA is filed under the name Inocybe sp. Its description in RNAcentral is "partial internal transcribed spacer 2". Lineage: Eukaryota; Fungi; Basidiomycota; Agaricomycetes; Agaricales; Inocybaceae. The record is from RNAcentral.